UUUCUUGUGAUUUGAAGUUGUUUUUUGAAAGAUACUUUCUUGUUAUAAACAACCUGGAAAAUACGCGUAGAAGUUAGUUGUAUACGCUCGCUCGUAAGGAUACGUAGAUCCUCUGUCAUCUCGGUACACAGGUGCAACGCUCGGGAAAGGAUCGAACGUGUGCAUCGAGAUAUCGUUGGUCCGUCCCGCGGGCUAAUCACGAUGAUCCACAAAUCAAUGCUAAUCGAUGCGAGAGAAUCGAGAUAUCGAACACGAGCGACAAUGGUUCAUGGAUACCUUCGGACACAACCUGCCGUGGCGUGACCCGGAAACAGAUCUCACCGAACUAGCUCGAUGUUACAUCCACAUGAACGUGUAGUACGGGCAAAAGGAUUCGGUUCGAGUCGGAGAGCGUCGACAGGAAGGGAGUUUGAUUGGACGUGCACCGAUCGCGUAAUUAGACACGCCUCAUAUCUCGUCGAUGGCAUUGGGCGGCACCCGUCGAUCGUCGAGGGAAGAGAGAGAGAGAGAGAGAGAGAGUCGGACGAGAGCCGAGAAACGAAAGAAGGAGAUGCCCGCGUCGAGACGAGGAGAUUCGAAUCGCUCGCACCAGGGAUGUGUAACGAUGUAUCUAACUGCGCGAGUGCGAGAGAGAGAAACGUAGGUGGGUGUCCACUCGCACGUUCAUACGUACGUGUUCGCACAUCGCCGUGUCCGUGUGUGUCUUCAUUACGGACAGCCGUGAGAGCAUUUAGAUGAUAUCGUAAUGGCAAUUACCCGCUUGAUCCUUCGGCCAGGGCUCGUUCGCCAACUCCUUUGCCGGUCGGUGGCCACACCGACUAAUAUUGGUUCUGCUCAUUAUACCGAGCUCUUACCGAUCGUACCCAAAGCCUCUUGUCCUCUUCCUCGCUCUUUUCUCUUUCUCCCUUCCUCUCUUUCGUUCUUUCUCUACAACCUUCUCGCCAUCGUUUCGCUCUUCGUGGGUGUGUGACCACCUACCUCGCCCCCGUCCUUCCGGUACACAUCCCGUCCUCUCUCCUUCGCCUCUUUAGGAACCGAUCCUUGUCUAGUCGCGAUCGCUCGAACAAAUCUUUCCAUGUACGAGAGAGAACAAGGAAGACCGGAGAUCGGAAUCUCCGCGACACCAGUUCCACGCAGCUCUCUAAGGAUAUUCCCCUCCAAGAGGGAAAUAGGAAAUAAGCGGAUAGAAAUUACGAGUUGAAGUUAACUAACAUACAAGAUGUAAGAACG
Vespula pensylvanica (western yellowjacket) is the source of this 1230-nucleotide long non-coding RNA. RefSeq lists it as uncharacterized. The transcript has 3 exons. Lineage: Eukaryota; Metazoa; Arthropoda; Insecta; Hymenoptera; Vespidae. The record is from RefSeq and is a predicted model, not a curated record.